GCGGAUUUAGCUCAGUUGGGAGAGCGCCAGACUGAAGAAAACUUCAGUUAAAAGAAAUCUGGAGGUCGUGUGUUCGAUCCACACAAUUCGCA
RNAcentral lists this transfer RNA (92 nucleotides) under Naumovozyma dairenensis CBS 421. It matches the Rfam family "tRNA". Rfam says of the family: Transfer RNA (tRNA) molecules are approximately 80 nucleotides in length. Their secondary structure includes four short double-helical elements and three loops (D, anti-codon, and T loops). The record is from Rfam by way of RNAcentral. Lineage: Eukaryota; Fungi; Ascomycota; Saccharomycetes; Saccharomycetales; Saccharomycetaceae.